This is a long non-coding RNA of Pygocentrus nattereri (red-bellied piranha), 823 nucleotides long. RefSeq lists it as uncharacterized. The record is from RefSeq and is a predicted model, not a curated record. The transcript is spliced from 2 exons. Lineage: Eukaryota; Metazoa; Chordata; Actinopteri; Characiformes; Serrasalmidae.
ACCUGGUUUUAUAUGGCUACUUCUCUUACGUGUUAAGUUUCAUAAUGUAUUUACAUCUAUUUUACACACAAAAUGAACAGUACUGUGUAUAUUUGAUCUCCACGUCGAAAAUGAAACGGUAUAUAUUUAAUCUACACCUGUGGUACAUCGGAGUAUUUAAAAUGGCACAUUUUAGCAUUUAUCUUUAUAAGAAAAAGUACCUGAAAUGUUUUCCUGCAUUAAAAAAUACCCGACAUUUAAAGAUGUGUUUUUUUUUUCAGUUCAGUCAGUUUUCACCGACUGAACGGAGAGAAACGCAGAGAUAGUGAAAGAAAGCUCGGCUCCGUCGGGAGGACUUCGCACUCCGCCCGCCUCCUCGUCACUGCUUCAGCGCGGAGGCAGCGGUCCGGCAGUGACGUCUGCCGGGAGCUUAGCGACGGAGCUCUGAACACGAGCGAACAAGAAGAGAGAGGGGUUUUACUCCACCUUUGCUAAGCAGCCAGAACAAACGUAAAGUGAAGCGAGUUUAAGUUACUCAUUAAUUUUGGCUACUUUUUCUCCAGAAAACGGAGCGGGCGCGAGAAAGUGAAAGUGAGGAUGAAGCUCACUAUCUCACUGUGGCCAUUCUGAGAGGCCAGGUGCAAAGCAGACUGACCUCCUGAGUCCCUCACCAACAAACUGAGCCCACUACUACAGGAGCUGGACAACUAGGAGAGAGAAAGAAAGACAGAUGGAAAGAAGACGAUAUAAGCAUCAAUCACUUGAUGAAUAUCUGGAUAUGAAACUAUUCAUUUGUUCUUUUUAACUGGUGCAUGGUGGUAUAAAAAUAAAAAAACUCAAAACA